GAUGAACGCUGGCGGCGUGCCUAAUACAUGCAAGUCGAGCGAACAGACGAGGAGCUUGCUCCUCUGACGUUAGCGGCGGACGGGUGAGUAACACGUGGAUAACCUACCUAUAAGACUGGGAUAACUUCGGGAAACCGGAGCUAAUACCGGAUAAUAUAUUGAACCGCAUGGUUCAAUAGUGAAAGACGGUUUUGCUGUCACUUAUAGAUGGAUCCGCGCCGCAUUAGCUAGUUGGUAAGGUAACGGCUUACCAAGGCAACGAUGCGUAGCCGACCGUAGAGGGUGAUCGGCCACACUGGAACUGAGACACGGUCCAGACUCCUACGGGAGGCAGCAGUAGGGAAUCUUCCGCAAUGGGCGAAAGCCUGACGGAGCAACGCCGCGUGAGUGAUGAAGAUCUUCGGAUCGUAAAACUCUGUUAUUAGGGAAGAACAAAUGUGUAAGUAACUAUACACGUCUUGACGGUACCUAAUCAGAAAGCCACGGCUAACUACGUG
RNAcentral lists this ribosomal RNA (497 nucleotides) under uncultured bacterium. RNAcentral's name for it is "partial 16S ribosomal RNA". It matches the Rfam family "Bacterial small subunit ribosomal RNA", at positions 28 to 507 of the family's 1533-position model. The record is from RNAcentral.